GGGGUUGUGGCUCAGUGAUAGAGUGCUCACCUAGCACAUGUGAGGCCCUGGGUUCAAUCCUCAGCACCACA
RNAcentral lists this transfer RNA (71 nucleotides) under Marmota monax (woodchuck). RNAcentral describes it as "tRNA.Ala". It matches the Rfam family "tRNA". Rfam says of the family: Transfer RNA (tRNA) molecules are approximately 80 nucleotides in length. Their secondary structure includes four short double-helical elements and three loops (D, anti-codon, and T loops). Lineage: Eukaryota; Metazoa; Chordata; Mammalia; Rodentia; Sciuridae. The record is from RNAcentral.